Molecule: ribosomal RNA, 253 nt
Filed under: uncultured bacterium
Lineage: Bacteria
Description: partial 16S ribosomal RNA
Rfam family: Bacterial small subunit ribosomal RNA
Source: RNAcentral
UACGUAGGGUGCAAGCGUUGUCCGGAAUUAUUGGGCGUAAAGAGCUCGUAGGCGGUUUGUCGCGUCGGCUGUGAAAUCUCGGGGCUUAACUCCGAGCCUGCAGUCGAUACGGGCAGACUUGAGUUCGGUAGGGGAGACUGGAAUUCCUGGUGUAGCGGUGAAAUGCGCAGAUAUCAGGAGGAACACCGGUGGCGAAGGCGGGUCUCUGGGCCGAAACUGACGCUGAGGAGCGAAAGCGUGGGGAGCGAACAGG